CUUCUUUACACUUAUUUGACACAUACAAUAUGCUAAGUAUGUGCAAAUUAUGUGCAGGAAAAAUAAAAAUUUAAAACUUUUUUUCAAGAAACUCAACUCAUUGGAGGAAUAGUUCAGAGUCAGUGUUCUAAUUGACAAAGUAUGCAUGGAUUAGAGGUUAUUGGUUCACAAAGAAGGGUAUCAUAUCAUAAGCAAUAAAACAGAUUUGAUUUGGUUUAUGUAAUAGACAAAUUUUGACAUCUGUCUUGAAGGAUGAGUAUGAGUUUAUGGACAAAGGGAAUAGUUUUCAUAAAGUACCUAAAACUGUAAUUGAGCAAACAAAGCUUCAUUGUUGCAAUGAUCAAGAUAAGGUACCCUCUAGAAUAAGACCUGGGACAACUGUCAUAAGGAUGGAGCAGCAGAACUCAAAAGUUCUCAAGAUAAAGUUAAACUGUAUUGAGAAGACUUCAUGACCAGUACAUGUGGUGUGAGGAAGAGGCAAUCAUUGAUGGAACUCUCCAAGAUUCACAAGAUGUAAAGAGAGGAUGAUGUGUUGAGUAUAACAGAGUGUGAGAUUCUGUGAAAAGAGGUAACUAUUAACAGCCAUAUAUGUGGUCUAAAAUGUGGUCUAUAUUGGAAAGAGAAAAUUGGGAAUCCACAGUGAUAGUUAAGGUUGGAGCAUAAAGAAAGUCAGCAGGGAGGUGUAUUAAAAAAAAAAACCAAAAACCUCACAUCUGGAAGAAAAAGAUGGCCAAGAAUUAAAUACGUGGAAAUUCAGCAUUUAAGAGUCAUUAGGGGGAAAAAAGUACAGAGUAGGAAGGGAACUAUAGUCUUAACAAGAAGGAAGUAAGGAAUGGGAAAAGUUGCAAGAAGAAUGAAGUGGUAAAUUGUGAUAAAUAGUACAGUGACUCAUUACAAUGAAGAUAAUGGAUAAGUGGUCCAUUGACUUUGGCGUUUAGAUCAUUAGAGACCUUAGUGGAAACAAUUUCAGUGAAAGUAGUAGGAAUGGGAGUUGUCAUUUUUAGGUCUCCUGAAUUGAAAGAUAAGGGGUAGAGCAAUGAGUGUAAUUUUUUUCCCCAAGAGCUUGAAUGUGAGAUGUGAUAAAGAUAAUUUAACCAAUAAAAAAAAUGGCAAAAGUUAAUAAAGAAAGGAU
RNAcentral lists this long non-coding RNA (1132 nucleotides) under Sus scrofa (pig). Its description in RNAcentral is "lncRNA (ENSSSCG00070014133.1)". Lineage: Eukaryota; Metazoa; Chordata; Mammalia; Artiodactyla; Suidae. The record is from RNAcentral.